Molecule: ribosomal RNA, 405 nt
Filed under: uncultured bacterium
Lineage: Bacteria
Description: bacterial SSU rRNA
Rfam family: Bacterial small subunit ribosomal RNA
Source: RNAcentral
GGGGAAUAUUGCACAAUGGGCGAAAGCCUGAUGCAGCGACGCCGCGUGCGGGAUGACGGCCUUCGGGUUGUAAACCGCUUUCAGCUCUGACGAAGCUUUUGUGACGGUAGGAGCAGAAGAAGCACCGGCUAACUACGUGCCAGCAGCCGCGGUAAUACGUAGGGUGCGAGCGUUGUCCGGAAUUAUUGGGCGUAAAGAGCUUGUAGGCGGCUUGUCGCGUCUGCUGUGAAAACCCGGGGCUUAACCCCGGGCUGGCAGUGGGUACGGGCAGGCUAGAGUGUGGUAGGGGAGACUGGAAUUCCUGGUGUAGCGGUGGAAUGCGCAGAUAUCAGGAGGAACACCGAUGGCGAAGGCAGGUCUCUGGGCCAUUACUGACGCUGAGAAGCGAAAGCGUGGGGAGCGAAC